GGAUAGCUCAGUUGGUUAGAACAUGGUGCUAAUAACACCAAGGUUGCAGGUUUGAUUCCCGUAUGGGACA
Molecule: transfer RNA, 70 nt
Filed under: Podarcis lilfordi (Lilford's wall lizard)
Lineage: Eukaryota; Metazoa; Chordata; Lepidosauria; Squamata; Lacertidae
Description: tRNA.Ile
Rfam family: tRNA (bases 4-62)
About the family: Transfer RNA (tRNA) molecules are approximately 80 nucleotides in length. Their secondary structure includes four short double-helical elements and three loops (D, anti-codon, and T loops).
Source: RNAcentral